This 280-nucleotide unclassified non-coding RNA is filed under the name Pleosporales sp. Its description in RNAcentral is "partial contains 5.8S ribosomal RNA, internal transcribed spacer 2, and large subunit ribosomal RNA". The stretch from base 1 to 71 matches the Rfam family "5.8S ribosomal RNA", at positions 84 to 154 of the family's 154-position model. Lineage: Eukaryota; Fungi; Ascomycota; Dothideomycetes; Pleosporales. The record is from RNAcentral.
GUGAAUCAUCGAAUCUUUGAACGCACAUUGCGCCCCUUGGUAUUCCAUGGGGCAUGCCUGUUCGAGCGUCAUUUGUACCCUCAAGCUCUGCUUGGUGUUGGGUGUUUGUUCCCGCAAGGGGACUCGCCUUAAAGCAAUUGGCAGGCGACAAUCUGGCUUAGAGCGUAGCACAAUUUACGCUUCAUAGCACGAGAGUCGGCAUCCAUUAAGCAUUUUUAACGCUUGACCUCGGAUCAGGUAGGGAUACCCGCUGAACUUAAGCAUAUCAAUAAGCGGAGGA